GCCCGCGACGAGACCACCCAUGGACUAACAUUUUUAAUGUGCCUUUUCGGAGUGGGAAGUCCCAGAGGUCUCAGUUUGUGAGGAAGUGGAAGCGGUAGAGGUCUUUCUCUAUUCAACUUUCCAGGCUUCUGAGGGAUCCUCCCUUGAAAAAGAGACGAUAUUGCUUCAAUCUCAUCUGAUUCCCAAACAAUCUCACCAUUACGUCCCUCUUUUUCUUCUUCUUGUUCCCGUUCCUCUUCUUCUUCUUCCUCUUUAGC
RNAcentral lists this unclassified non-coding RNA (257 nucleotides) under Hevea brasiliensis (rubber tree). The record is from RNAcentral. Lineage: Eukaryota; Viridiplantae; Streptophyta; Magnoliopsida; Malpighiales; Euphorbiaceae.